AGUGAAUUCUGGCUUCUUCUUGACAAUCUUCUGGACAUUCUCAUCAUUCCUGAACCAUGUCACAGUGGGAUAUGGCGAUCCAGAAAUGUGGGCAUCCACUCUAAUCUCCUCACCCUUCCUGAUGGAUCUGCAGCCUUAAUUAGGGGAGUGCUGCGGGAAGGUUCACUUUCUCCAGCCACAUUCUCUGCACGAACACGGAACUGAUAUUCCUUGCCUUCUGUCAAGCCAGUGAUGGUAUAGGAGAAACCAGGCACCAGGGUCAGUUGGCUCACUUGGCUCACUCUCUCCAGCAACAUUUACAGCUUUGACACGGAAGGAGUAUUCCUGCUUCUCCAUCAGUCCCUUCAGCAAGUGCUCUGUCAUAGGCACAUCCUCAGCAACACGAACCCAUUCUUCAGUUCCACUCUUGAGGAGCUCAAUGAUAUAAGACUCAAUUUUAGCACCACCAUCAUGCUCUGGUCUAGUCCAUUGCAGGAAUGCAGAGGUAUUAGCGAUGUCUUUGAUGUAUGGUUUGCCAGGGGCCCAUGGAGGAUCUAUAAAAGAAUUAAUUUUUUUUUUUCUGAUCUUUUUUGUAUCAAAGCAAAUAACUUGACCUUAUGUGUUAUUGCAACAUACCAAUUGGAUCCUUAAUCAAGAUGGGAUCUGUUUCAAUACUUGGUUUUCCUGCUCCUGCAAGGUUCUCAGCCAGAAUACGGAAUUUGUACUUUUUCUUUGUGGCCAGACCUUUUACUCUGCAGUAAACACCCAUGGUGUUCUUGCAUUAACAUUUUAAAAUACAUUUGUUAUAUUUGUCCAUAUUCUGAUUGUGUAUAAGGUCUUACCUGAGUGUAGUGUCUCUGAUUGGCAGCUUGUUGCAUUUGAUCCAUUUGUCACUUUCUGGAUCAAACCUCUCUACCCAGUAGCCAGUGAUUGGACUUCCACCAUCCUCAUCAGGCUCAUACCAGGUCAAAGUUACAGCAUCCUUUGAGAUAUCAGAGGGCUGCACCCUGCUUGGGGAACCAGGAGGCUCUAAAUAAUAGGAAGGAAACAUAGUAGCAUUUGCACCUAUUUAAAAGACCAACACAAUUAAGCUGUAAUGGGGUAAAUACUUACCAAAUGGAUACUUGGCAACAAUCGGAGCAUGCUCUGUGGGGGUACCAAUGCCAUAUUGGUUCUCAGCAGAUACCCUGAAAACAUACUCCUUCAAAGACACCAGUUUGCAGGCCUUGAAAGUGGUCUGCUUGACAGUUGCAGAGAGCUUCUGCCACUCCUCCUUUUCCAAAGGUCUCAUUUCCACAAUGUAGUUGGUUACAGGAGAUCCACCAUCAUCUCUGGGGGCAUUCCAAGCCAGACAACAGGACUCAUUGGUAAUGUCAGAAAUAUCAAAAGCAGCUGGGGGACCAGGCUUAUCUGUUAAGAACACAGCAAAAAGACCAAAUGGAAAUUGCUUGAAUUCAUAGUAUAAAUAUUAUAAAAUUUUAGCGUCAAAUUUUAUGACACUUGCUUUUCUCCGUCUACGUGUUACCUCUUGGUACACUCAUUCAAAAGCAUGAAAUCAGUUUUCAUAGUUAGGCAGAUAACACAACUUUAUACAUCAGUGUCAUAGGGUAAGCAAGAGCCAGUUAACAAAUUGACUACAUGCUUGAAUGAAAUAUCUGACUGGAUGUCACAGAACUUUCUACAGUUAAACCAGGAUAAAAUGGAGAUAUUGAUUGUAGGAAAUAAACAAAAA
Long non-coding RNA from Ictalurus punctatus (channel catfish), 1711 nucleotides. RefSeq lists it as uncharacterized. NCBI's taxonomy places the organism in Eukaryota, Metazoa, Chordata, Actinopteri, Siluriformes, Ictaluridae. The record is from RefSeq and is a predicted model, not a curated record. The transcript is spliced from 3 exons.